This 433-nucleotide ribosomal RNA is filed under the name uncultured bacterium. RNAcentral's name for it is "bacterial SSU rRNA". It matches the Rfam family "Bacterial small subunit ribosomal RNA", at positions 368 to 793 of the family's 1533-position model. The record is from RNAcentral.
ACAAUGGGCGCAAGCCUGAUGGAGCAACACCGCGUGAGUGAAGAAGGGUUUCGGCUCGUAAAGCUCUGUUGUUAAAGAAGAACACGUAUGAGAGUAACUGUUCAUACGUUGACGGUAUUUAACCAGAAAGUCACGGCUAACUACGUGCCAGCAGCCGCGGUAAUACGUAGGUGGCAAGCGUUAUCCGGAUUUAUUGGGCGUAAAGAGAGUGCAGGCGGUUUUCUAAGUCUGAUGUGAAAGCCUUCGGCUUAACCGGAGAAGUGCAUCGGAAAUUGGAUAACUUGAGUGCAGAAGAGGGUAGUGGAACUCCAUGUGUAGCGGUGGAAUGCGUAGAUAUAUGGAAGAACACCAGUGGCGAAGGCGGCUACCUGGUCUGCAACUGACGCUGAGACUCGAAAGCAUGGGUAGCGAACAGGAUUAGAUACCCUGGUAG